Molecule: ribosomal RNA, 216 nt
Filed under: uncultured bacterium
Lineage: Bacteria
Description: partial 16S ribosomal RNA
Rfam family: Bacterial small subunit ribosomal RNA
Source: RNAcentral
AACGAACGCUGGCGGCAUGCCUAACACAUGCAAGUCGAACGAGACCUUCGGGUCUAGUGGCGCACGGGUGCGUAACACGUGGGAAUCUGCCCUUAGGUUCGGAAUAACAGUUGGAAACGACUGCUAAUACCGGAUGAUGACGUAAGUCCAAAGAUUUAUCGCCUAAGGAUGAGCCCGCGUCGGAUUAGCUAGUUGGUGGGGUAAGGACCGUACCAA